RNAcentral lists this ribosomal RNA (483 nucleotides) under uncultured bacterium. RNAcentral describes it as "partial 16S ribosomal RNA". It matches the Rfam family "Bacterial small subunit ribosomal RNA", at positions 28 to 523 of the family's 1533-position model. The record is from RNAcentral.
GACGAACGCUGGCGGCGUGCCUAACACAUGCAAGUCGAACGGGGGUAUUUAUUUCGAUGAAUACCUUAGUGGCGAACGGGUGAGUAACGCGUGAGCAACCUAUCCUUAAGAGGGGGAUAACAUCUGGAAACAGAUGCUAAUACCGCAUAAGACCACACUGCCGCAUGGCAGAGGGGUCAAAGGAGCAAUCCGUUUAAGGAGGGGCUCGCGUCCCAUUAGAUAGUUGGUGAGGUAACAGCUCACCAAGUCAGCGAUGGGUAGCCGAGCUGAGAGGCUGAUCGGCCACACUGGAACUGAGACACGGUCCAGACUCCUACGGGAGGCAGCAGUGGGGAAUAUUGGGCAAUGGGGGGAACCCUGACCCAGCAACGCCGCGUGAGGGAAGAAGGCCUUCGGAUUGUAAACCUCUGUCAUUAGGGAAGAAGAAAGUGACGGUACCUAAUGAGGAAGCCCCGGCUAACUACGUGCCAGCCGCCGCCGUAA